RNAcentral lists this long non-coding RNA (747 nucleotides) under Homo sapiens (human). Its description in RNAcentral is "HSALNT0154724". The record is from RNAcentral. Lineage: Eukaryota; Metazoa; Chordata; Mammalia; Primates; Hominidae.
CGACUAUAGAGCUCUCACUUGCCUCUUUUCAUUAAUAGCAUGAUGUUUCAGUGAUGGCAGACAACAAUGUGACUCACCAACAAUUCUGAAGAAAUGCUCCUUCAAGCAUCCAAGAGGAUCACCUUUCUUCUCUGUCUUGAAAUUAGGCUCACGAGACAUAUGUUGUGACAAGAUGAGUUUUUACAAUCUGGGGCUUGGAAGUCCUCAACAAAUGUAUAAGAGGUUGGAACUUCUUUCUUCACUGUUCUAUGUUUUUCAUUCACCAAGGAGAUAAUCCAAGAAAAUCAUCAUAUAUUUCAUGAAUUGGAUGACUUCCCUUUGCUGACUCAUGGCUGUCCUAACUUCUUGCUCCUAGAUUAAAACAAAAUUAGGUGUCAAUCAGGACAGCAAGCACAUCUUAAAGAAAAGGAGACAUACUCAUAGAGGGAAGAAUCAUUUGUGGUCACAUGGCUUAAAAGGGCAGAACUGGGACUAAAAUUCAAAUAUGGCUAAAAUGACACCUUUUAAUCUUAUGUCACUAUAGAGAGACAGUACUUGGGGAGGACAGCUUGGCAUGGUUUCUAACGCAAGGAGACCAAGGCAAGAAAGUUCCCAGGGGUAUUUCCCCUGUGAAAUUGCUCACACCAGGAGCAAAGGCUGUCCAGGGAGCCCCAUAAGCUGAUAGUGAUGGAGCCCAUCAGUUCAGUGUCUGAUUGAGGAAGAGCAUUUAAUAAACAUGAGGAGAAAGACCAAGGAUUCCAAUGUUUA